UCUCCGUAGGUGAACCUGCGGAGGGAUCAUUACUGAGUGAGGGUCUCCGGGCCCGACCUCCAACCCCAUGUGAACCGAAACCUGUUGCUUCGGGGGCGACCCUGCCUUUCGGGCAGUGCGCCCCCGGAGGAUAUCAAAACGCUGCAUCUUUGCGUCGGAGUUUAAACAAAUUAAACAAAACUUUCAACAACGGAUCUCUUGGUUCGGGCAUCGAUGAAGAACGCAGC
RNAcentral lists this unclassified non-coding RNA (227 nucleotides) under uncultured fungus. Its description in RNAcentral is "sequence contains ITS1, 5.8S rRNA gene". The stretch from base 179 to 227 matches the Rfam family "5.8S ribosomal RNA", at positions 1 to 49 of the family's 154-position model. The record is from RNAcentral. Lineage: Eukaryota; Fungi.